Non-coding RNA from Cricetulus griseus (Chinese hamster), 2750 nucleotides. Lineage: Eukaryota; Metazoa; Chordata; Mammalia; Rodentia; Cricetidae. The record is from RefSeq and is a predicted model, not a curated record.
AUUCUGGUGUUUUCUUCCAGGGUGAACAGAGUGAGAAAGGCUUCCACUAUGAUCUCUGGUUGUGUCUACAUCUUAGAGUUCCAGGGGUCUCUGGGCAGGAAGACCAAAAUGCUUGUCUGGCAACUGUCCUCUUCAUGCUGAUUCCUGGCUGUGGCAUAGGGAACUGGAGCUCGAAUGUGCCCUUUGUCCUCUCUGUACCACGGAGUCCACUUCCAGGUUCAAGACAGUUUCUGCAGAACUCCUGAAGGACAACAAAGGGAAUAAAGGGAAUAAAAAGAAAGCCACAAGACAUAAACACAGAAAACAAGGGUGAGAAAGCGAAGCAGACAACAGACGGAGGAUCUAAGUCUGAAAGGAAGGGAAGAAGUAUGAAAAGAUGGAGAUAAGUGGAAUGUCUGGGGACCCGGAAGCUUAUGAGCAUAGAGACCAGAAUUCCCGGGGCAGUAGCUGAUCCUAGGAGGUGAAGUAUAUGUGCUGGUAGGUGUCUAAAAAGAUAAACGUUCAGGGACAAUUGGACAGGCUCUGUACCUUGAGAAGCAAGUUACUCACGGAUCUGAGUCCCCGGUGAUGAAUCCUCCGCACUGUGUCAAACAUGGCUGCCGCAAGAUAACAAAGCCCGUAUUUCUGACUUUAUAACUCUGAAGUCCGUGCUGCCUUGGGGGCUGGCACUGGCUGAGUCUUACCCUGGGCACCCCAGAACUGUAAAGCUGGCUAGAGCCUCCUUUACCUCGGUAUUUGUCCCAGAAGCCCCAAGCAUUCCUUAUAAGCCCCAAGCAUUCCUUAUCCCUUCGCUCCCAGACCAACAAACAAAAGGCACAUUGAGGUGUUGAUGAGAACAGCAAAGCAAUUCCACUUGAUGGCAGUAGAGUACUAGGAAUGCACAGGCACCCUUCUUCCAGGUUCACUCCCUCCGCCCUUUUAGGAAAAAAAAAAAACCUGAAAAAUGUCAACGUGACACUAAACUCCUAAAUAUCUUGGCUAUAAGUUGGCCCCACAUAGCCAGAGAAGAGCUUGGAAUCUUACUUUAUGGAUCUGGUCUGGAGGGUCUCAGACCCUAUAGGAAUCUAGGUCUCAAUAUAUUGAGACACUCCUCCACAAGGAUAAGGUCCAGCCUCAAGGUAUAAGGGCCAAAAACUGAAUAGGGACCUCCUUCUCUAGUUGCAAAAGUCAGGAGAAGCCACAGAAACAAAAUCUUAGGCAUAAAGUGGUCCUUGGCUAAAUACAGCACCACUCAUCCUACCAAAAUCACAGUACCCUGGACACUAGGCAUCAAGUCUGACCCAUAGAGUGACCAGGACCAAAUAUCCAGUGGCCUGCCACCUCAUUGUUGAGACUGUAAUGCUCAGAUGAAAAGGAUUCUACCCCUUUCUCCUCCAGACAGCCCUGCCGGGGCUUUCAAACUCUCCAUCUUUACCAAGAUCCAGCUCAAGGGGCACUUGUCUUGUUUCUGAUCAUGGUGAUUGAAAUCACUGUGAUUGGCCUGACUUCUCACUGACCUUAGACCACCCACAAUUAUAGACUUGUUCUAGAACCUACUUCUGGAAAAUACUUUCCAGGAAAAGGUCCCUGGCAUCAUGUCAUAAGCAAAGGCAUCCACCCUCUCACAACACCAGAUGCCACACUUCCAUGAUCUCAACUCCACUGAUGCACACACCUGUUCUUCAGCUGAGAGGCUGGCUCUCUAAGGGCUUUGAGCUCAGAGAAACAGCCCUUCUGUGUUUUAACUUAGGUCUAUCUUCCAUACCUACUAUAGGUAGGAUGCUUUACCGCAGUGUCUGGACCAUCAAUGGCCUUCCUUCUCUGCAGCAGAUACCCUCAGAAUGUACUUCCUAACAUACAAACACACAUACCAGCUCACCAUCAAUUUAAGGAAAAGAAUAGUCAUCCUCCACUACUUGCUAAAGUUGGGCCUCACUCUACUCAUAACUUCUCUAGUGGAUGACAGGUCACUUUCCCGCUUUUGGCAGCCAUCACAUGGUACAUGUGUAGGGGGCAGCUUUCUUGACCUUGAUCCUGGAUAUUCUCUGGUACUCUUGAGCAAGCUGACCUAGGAAAGAGAAGCCUCCAAUGGGGAUAACCUGCUUUAAGUCCAUUUUAUACCUACUGGUUUGGCCAGUGAGGCACUGGCAUUGAAAGCAGUCCACAUGACACCCUUCCUAUCUCACAACUACUUUGCUUGUUGACUCAGAACCACCCUAAGGAAGGACUCUGCCUUCUUUCUCUUCACACCCAGUUGGCUCACACAAGAAUGCUCCACCUGCAUCUUACCCUUGCAGUUAUUCCCAUUCUCUUGGAUUGUGCCAGGAUCCUGGGUUUCUUGGUGAACUCUUAGCUGAUAGGUAAAGGACACUGGACUCUUCAUACAGAACUUCUGAAGACAGCAAAAGUACAAAGGAGGAAAAAAGAAAGUCAAAAUACUGAAAAGAUGGAAAACAAGAAGCAAAAAGGAGAAGAUGAAGCAGAGAGAAACAGCUAAUGACAUCAGAAUGGGAGGCAGGAUGUGAGGCAAGCAGGACAGGAGGAAGGAAGGGACGAAGGACAAGUUGAAGGAGGAAGGAAGAAAGGAAUGAGGGAAUGAAGAACUGACUGACAGAUAAAUGACAUCUUGGUGGUGCUUCUCGGGAUCUCCAAGCCCAUGAACAGAGAUAAAACUCCCAAGGGCGGAGUCUGAUUUCAGGAAAUAGGGGUAAAUACGGUUGAAAGUUAAAAAAAAAAAAUAAGAAGCUGGGUAUCCUGUUGUGACCACAUGC